Molecule: non-coding RNA, 142 nt
Organism: Caenorhabditis elegans
Lineage: Eukaryota; Metazoa; Nematoda; Chromadorea; Rhabditida; Rhabditidae
Source: Ensembl
GAAGAAGUGUGCUUGAUUUGAAACAGAUGCACAACAGACACUUCUUCAAGGCUCCACCCAGCACGUGUGCUUCGUGCAGAACAAGUCAUGUAUACUUUUGGUGGUUCGCAAAAACCUGUUUCGCUCUUUUUACCGCUAAUUU